RNAcentral lists this long non-coding RNA (1787 nucleotides) under Setaria italica (foxtail millet). RNAcentral describes it as "long non-coding RNA (SITA_LNC002228)". The record is from RNAcentral. Lineage: Eukaryota; Viridiplantae; Streptophyta; Magnoliopsida; Poales; Poaceae.
CACUUGAUGCAAAUUUGCUGGGGUCAAGGGCACAUGUACAUCCAUAAACAACACUUUAUUCAAAUAAGCAACGUCUUGUUGCGGCUACUAAUGCCUAGCCGAUUAACUUGAAAGCAGCAGCUUUCCUUGCAAGCUGCACUCGUGUGUUGGGAGACAGGUCAAAUACUGGGCUACCAAAUGGAGCUUCAUUCAAAUAACCAUCACGCGGAUCAUGCUCAUCUCCUGCAGUAGAAUAGGUAAAGUCGUUCAAUCAUCAUGGCUGACUAAGCAUGUACUUCAUUUAGAUUCUUCACACGCAAUUUUUGAAUGGUCAAUUAUUCAAUACAGAAUACUAUGCAAAAGAAUCAAGUUGGUAUAUUGAGUACUAAAAAUGCUACUAAAUUUGAGAGUAUAUAUAUGCUUCAAAUUCCUACAAAACUAUGUGGCUUCAAUAGAACUCCAUGCAAGGGGGCUGGUGUAGCAUCAAAGAUAAUGCCUACCACAAAAAAGAUGAGGAUCAAAAGUUCUUAACAUGGAAAUGAUGGUGGUAUAAAAAAGAAUUUUGACAUAAAUAAAAUCCCAAUAAUAUAAGCAACAAUGACAGUACGAAUCAAUAGAACUGCCAGGUGGUGGAUGCAGUGACACUCAGGUUUGCUCACAACCUCUACAAUACCACCUACAUAGCACUUAAUAGAUACUGAAAUAAUGCAGGAAUAGAUUUACACAAACUCUUGGUUUCACCAGCCAAGCGUUGGAGGAGCAUAUCAACGAAGGGAGCACCUACAACACGGUGGAUGAAACCGACAACAAACUGGCGGAGAAUUGAAGGAGACCUCCACACAUUAUCUAGCCAAGACAAGUGUCAAUUUCAAAAUCAAGUAGCAAAAUCAUGUAUGCAUUCAAUAAUUGCAUCUUACCACAUAACCAUUGUGACAAUCAACUGCAGUGUGUGCAAUAUAAUGACUGUUAGGUACGACUUCAUGCUAUCCAUGUCAGCAAUGUAACAAAUGUUAUGUAUGACUUCAUGCUAUCCAUCUCAGAAAUUAUUCUUUACCUAGCAGUCAGAUCAUAUCUCAGCAAUUAGCAGGGGAGUAGUGAAAAAAAUAUCAGAGUCAAGCAAAUGGUUGAUGUGCUAAGAGUAAAGCUAAUUCCAGCACACAAAAAGGUGUAACAUCUAACAUCUAAUACUGCUCUAAGACAACACAAAACCUAGCAAAAACUGCAGAUCAAGCAAGAUUAUAUCUAUGUCUAGGUGUAACUAAAUGUUUGAACAGAAAUCAGUGUUGCAUAAUUAAUCCUUGUAGAAAAAAGGAUGGAAGAUAGUCUGCAUCUUCUAACGAAGAAGGUGAAAGGGGCUACGUGCUCGCUCGUUAUAAGAGAAUGACUGAAUGAGUCACAGUUGGGUGACAGUGAUGUACUAUAUUACCGAUAGAAAAGAGUAACAUGCAGGCAGCUAUAACAUCUUGAACAAAGAAAUGAGGUACAAGUGUUUCAACCAACACAUUAUAAGGUACAUGCAUAACUUCCUACCGAAAAGCCUCCGAAAUAUACCCAUGAUCAGGAGAUACAGCAAUAUUAGUAGUAGUGAACACUAUGGUUGUGCUACCUAUGCAAUGCCACAUGCUUUAUUUUGGAAAUUCAUCAUGCUGAUUAAGUCCGUGAGACUAGAUAAAAAUGUCAGGUAGGUCAAUAAUUAACUUACAUAUAUUCUUCUGUGUGCUUAGGUACCGCAUAGCUGAGACAAAAUUGCACGUACAGCACUCCAGUACUAUUGACACUGCAAGAAACAAUUCAAGUUUCAGAUUAAC